GCCCAGUGACCACGUCGUUCAACGGCCGCAGUAUUUUAACUGCGCUAAGGUAGCGUAAUCAUUUGUCUCUUAAAUGGAGACCUGUAUGAAUGGCAAAACGAGGGUUUCACUGUCUCCCUUUCCCAGUCAAUGAAAUUGAUCUACCCGUGCAGAAGCGGGUAUAUAAACAUAAGACGAGAAGACCCUAUGGAGCUUUAGGUAAUGAUCAACCAUGUAAACAGUACCACUUAUACCCCAAGGGGAUAACGAUUUUUGAACCUAGUGUCAACAUGAUUAAUACCUUCGGUUGGGGCGACCACGGGGGAAAAAGAAGCCCCCACAUGGAAUAGGAGACACCUCCCAAACCAAGAGCUACAGCUCUAAGCAGCAGAACAUCUGACCACAAACGACCCGGGGACAAACUUUUAUUUAAACCCGAUCAAUGAACCAAGUUACCCUAGGGAUAACAGCGCAAUCCUUUCCCAGAGCCCAUAUCGACGAAAGGGUUUACGACCUCGAUGUUGGAUCAGGACAUCCUAAUGGUGAAGCCGCUAUUAAGGGUUCGUUUGUUCAACG
Molecule: ribosomal RNA, 555 nt
Filed under: Myrophis platyrhynchus (broadnose worm eel)
Lineage: Eukaryota; Metazoa; Chordata; Actinopteri; Anguilliformes; Ophichthidae
Description: partial 16S ribosomal RNA
Rfam family: Bacterial large subunit ribosomal RNA
Source: RNAcentral